GACGAACGCUGGCGGCGUGCCUAAUACAUGCAAGUUGAGCGCUGAAGGUUGGUACUUGUACCAACUGGAUGAGCAGCGAACGGGUGAGUAACGCGUGGGGAAUCUGCCUUUGAGCGGGGGACAACAUUUGGAAACGAAUGCUAAUACCGCAUAAAAACUUUAAACACAAGUUUUAAGUUUGAAAGAUGCAAUUGCAUCACUCAAAGAUGAUCCCGCGUUGUAUUAGCUAGUUGGUGAGGUAAAGGCUCACCAAGGCGAUGAUACAUAGCCGACCUGAGAGGGUGAUCGGCCACCUUGGGACUGGGACACGGCCCAAACUCCUACGGGAGGCAGCAGUAGGGAAUCUUCGGCAAUGGACGAAAGUCUGACCGAGCAACGCCGCGUGAGUGAGGAAGGUUUUCGGAUCGUAAAACUCUGUUGGUAGAGAAGAACGUUGGUGAGAGUGGAAAGCUCAUCAAGUGACGGUAACUACCCAGAAAGGGACGGCUAACUACGUG
RNAcentral lists this ribosomal RNA (497 nucleotides) under uncultured bacterium. RNAcentral describes it as "partial 16S ribosomal RNA". It matches the Rfam family "Bacterial small subunit ribosomal RNA", at positions 28 to 507 of the family's 1533-position model. The record is from RNAcentral.